GAUGAACGCUAGCUACAGGCUUAACACAUGCAAGUCGAGGGGCAGCAUGGUCUUAGCUUGCUAAGGCCGAUGGCGACCGGCGCACGGGUGAGUAACGCGUAUCCAACCUGCCUUACACUCUUGGACAGCCUUCUGAAAGGGAGAUUAAUACAAGAUGUUAUCAUGAGUAAGCAUUUUCGCAUGAUUAAAGGUUUACCGGUGUAAGAUGGGGUUGCGUUCCAUUAGAUAGUAGGCGGGGUAACGGCCCACCUAGUCUUCGAUGGAUAGGGGUUCUGAGAGGAAGGUCCCCCACAUUGGAACUGAGACACGGUCCAAACUCCUACGGGAGGCAGCAGUGAGGAAUAUUGGUCAAUGGACGAGAGUCUGAACCAGCCAAGUAGCGUGAAGGAUGAAGGUUCUAUGGAUUGUAAACUUCUUUUAUACGGGAAUAAACGGAUCCACGUGUGGAUU
RNAcentral lists this ribosomal RNA (450 nucleotides) under uncultured bacterium. RNAcentral's name for it is "bacterial SSU rRNA". It matches the Rfam family "Bacterial small subunit ribosomal RNA", at positions 28 to 467 of the family's 1533-position model. The record is from RNAcentral.